UCCGAGUUGACCCCGGCAGUCUCCCAUGAGUCCCCGGCAUUACCCGCUGGCAACAUGGAACGAGGGUUGCGCUCGUUGCGGGACUUAACCCAACAUCUCACGACACGAGCUGACGACAGCUAUGCACCACCUGUGAUCGAGUCCCGAAGGAGGGCUGAAUUUCUCCAGCUUUCCCGACCAUGUCAAGCCUUGGUAAGGUUCUUGGCGUCGCAUCCAAUUAAACCACAUGCUCCGCUGCUUGUGCGGGCUCCCGUCAAUUCCUUUGAGUUUUAAUCUUGCGACCGUACUCCCCAGGCGGGGAACUUACUCCGUUAGGUGCGGCACCGGCGGUAACCCGCCGACACUUAGUUCCCAUCGUUUAGGGCGUGGACUAC
Molecule: unclassified non-coding RNA, 374 nt
Filed under: uncultured Actinomycetes bacterium
Lineage: Bacteria; Bacillati; Actinomycetota; Actinomycetes
Description: uncultured actinobacterium contains 16S-23S intergenic spacer region
Source: RNAcentral